Molecule: small RNA, 431 nt
Filed under: Histoplasma capsulatum var. duboisii H88
Lineage: Eukaryota; Fungi; Ascomycota; Eurotiomycetes; Onygenales; Ajellomycetaceae
Description: Histoplasma capsulatum H88 hypothetical RNA
Source: RNAcentral
AAGUGGUCAACAGCCAUGGCCGCUGCUGGGCUGGGCCCGGGUGUGAUGUGCAUGCAGCCAACCUGCAGCCUGCAGGUUGUGUGAAGUGUGAAUGUGAUGGAUGUGAAGGAUUCCAGGGCUGGGAGGCCUUGAUGGGGGUUGUUGGAAGGGUUGUUGACAGGCGCUGUGAUUGGCGGAGAGAGAGGUCUGCUUAAGCGCCGAACAUGCAGGCGUGGAUGUUUUCUGUAUUUGUGGUUCCUCUUGGAUUUGCACGGAGUACGGGAGUCUUGUGUUUUGUUUCUGGGCCCUUCUUUCUUUUGUUACUUGUUCUUGGCUGGAUUUUGUAUGGUCGAGAAAAGGAUGAUAACGAGCAACCAAUAACGAACUCAUGAAUGGGACACCCGCCGCCCCGUCGCACCAGCAGCCAAGCCAAGGUUGAGGUCGAGUCCGGG